This 235-nucleotide ribosomal RNA is filed under the name uncultured bacterium. Its description in RNAcentral is "partial 16S ribosomal RNA". It matches the Rfam family "Bacterial small subunit ribosomal RNA", at positions 99 to 334 of the family's 1533-position model. The record is from RNAcentral.
CGGACGGGUGAGUAACGCGUGGGUAACCUGCCUUGUACAGGGGGAUAACAGUUGGAAACGGCUGCUAAUACCGCAUAAGCGCACGGCAUCGCAUGAUGCAGUGUGAAAAACUCCGGUGGUAUAAGAUGGACCCGCGUUGGAUUAGCCAGUUGGUGAGGUAACGGCCCACCAAGGCGACGAUCCAUAGCCGACCUGAGAGGGUGACCGGCCACAUUGGGACUGAGACACGGCCCAA